ACCAUUAAUAUUCUUUUCCAAUCCCAGGUUUUUGAAGUUGGUCAAAAAGCUGAUCCAAAGGAAGAAGUAAACAUCACUGAAGUAGAUGAAAGCAGAUCAAAGAAGUGCUUGAAAGAUUUAAAUGAGGAGCUACUUUGUUGUAUCUGUCGUGAACUGAUAGUAUUGGCGCACACUUUGCCUUGUUCACACACUUUCUGUUUUGGUUGUAUCAGGGACUGGCUUUGUCAUUCAAAAGACUGUCCAAACUGUAGAGCAAAGGCUCAACUCAAGUCUGCUGUACCAGUGAAGGUGAGUGAAUCCUUUACACCCUAACAUCAGUAUGCAUAUU
Long non-coding RNA from Pocillopora damicornis (cauliflower coral), 328 nucleotides. Lineage: Eukaryota; Metazoa; Cnidaria; Anthozoa; Scleractinia; Pocilloporidae. The record is from RefSeq and is a predicted model, not a curated record.